RNAcentral lists this ribosomal RNA (405 nucleotides) under uncultured Endobacter sp. Its description in RNAcentral is "bacterial SSU rRNA". It matches the Rfam family "Bacterial small subunit ribosomal RNA", at positions 354 to 776 of the family's 1533-position model. Lineage: Bacteria; Pseudomonadati; Pseudomonadota; Alphaproteobacteria; Acetobacterales; Acetobacteraceae. The record is from RNAcentral.
GUGGGGAAUAUUGGACAAUGGGCGCAAGCCUGAUCCAGCAAUGCCGCGUGGAUGAAGAAGGUUUUCGGAUUGUAAAGUCCUUUCGGCGGGGACGAUGAUGACGGUACCCGCAGAAGAAGCCCCGGCUAACUUCGUGCCAGCAGCCGCGGUAAUACGAAGGGGGCUAGCGUUGCUCGGAAUGACUGGGCGUAAAGGGCGCGUAGGCGGUUUGGACAGUCAGAUGUGAAAUUCCUGGGCUUAACCUGGGGGCUGCAUUUGAUACGUUCAGGCUUGAGUGUGGAAGAGGGUCGUGGAAUUCCCAGUGUAGAGGUGAAAUUCGUAGAUAUUGGGAAGAACACCGGUGGCGAAGGCGGCGACCUGGUCCAUUACUGACGCUGAGGCGCGAAAGCGUGGGGAGCAAACAGG